UAGUGGUGGCCACAACGAGGUACUAAAACCACUUCCGAUCAUGUGCGGAGAAUUCGGCGAGAGUGCCAGCGCAGGCUAUGCUCCAGGCUAUGCUCCAGAGGAGGAGAUCCUGAGGGGAGAUCUGGAUGGAGCAUCAGCGGAGUCAGUCUUUGAAGGAACAGAUGACAGCACUGGGCAAGGAGGCAGCGGCUGCACGGAGCUGUCACUCACACAUCGUCAUCCGUUACAAAGGAUGAGGACGCCAACCAGUAGCAGAGACCGCGGCCCCAAGAGCUGGGAGUUUCUGAUGAAUCUUUUGGCUGACAGCAGAUACAACCCUUCUCUCAUCAAGUGGGAUGACGAGCAGCGCUUCAUAUUCCGUCUGGUGAAGCCUUGCGAGGUCGCCGAGAUGUGGGCCUCCAGGAAGGCUCAGAACAAUGGCAUCGACAAAAACAACUUCGCUCGUAA
Molecule: long non-coding RNA, 447 nt
Organism: Macrobrachium nipponense
Lineage: Eukaryota; Metazoa; Arthropoda; Malacostraca; Decapoda; Palaemonidae
Exons: 3
Source: RefSeq, a predicted model, not a curated record